UUUGAAAUGCAUCCCUUUCUUUCUUAAUGGGUGGUUAGCAGGAAGAAAUCGACGAUGACCCAUAUACACGACCUUCCUACUAUGUUUCAAAUACAUGAUGUCUGUGUCGUCUAAACAGCUGAUGUAGGCUUGAUAUCCCUUGUUUGUUUGUCCUAAAAGGUUACUUAGCGCAGGCCAAUCAUUGAUGGUUAUGAACAACAAUACUCGUAGGUCAAAGCUCUCUUGUUUAUCCUCAUC
This 237-nucleotide long non-coding RNA is filed under the name Setaria viridis. RNAcentral's name for it is "long non-coding RNA (SVIR_LNC002753)". Lineage: Eukaryota; Viridiplantae; Streptophyta; Magnoliopsida; Poales; Poaceae. The record is from RNAcentral.